GGAACGGUAACUCAGUGGUAGAGUGUAGGAUUGCAGAUCCUGAAGUCAUCAGUUCGAUCCUGGUUCGUUCCU
This 72-nucleotide transfer RNA is filed under the name Plenodomus lingam JN3. RNAcentral describes it as "tRNA-Cys (GCA) (tRNA-Cys-GCA-1-1, tRNA-Cys-GCA-1-2)". It matches the Rfam family "tRNA". Rfam says of the family: Transfer RNA (tRNA) molecules are approximately 80 nucleotides in length. Their secondary structure includes four short double-helical elements and three loops (D, anti-codon, and T loops). The record is from RNAcentral. Lineage: Eukaryota; Fungi; Ascomycota; Dothideomycetes; Pleosporales; Leptosphaeriaceae. RNAcentral also lists the same sequence under 1 other name.